Molecule: ribosomal RNA, 1011 nt
Filed under: human gut metagenome
Description: bacterial LSU rRNA
Rfam family: Bacterial large subunit ribosomal RNA
Source: RNAcentral
CGAAGCCCCAGUGAACGGCGGCCGUAACUAUAACGGUCCUAAGGUAGCGAAAUUCCUUGUCAGGUAAGUUCUGACCCGCACGAAAGGUGUAACGAUUUGGGCGCUGUCUCGGCAGCAGACUCGGUGAAAUCUUAGUACCUGUGAAAAUGCAGGUUACCCGCAACUAGACGGAAAGACCCCAUGGAGCUUUACUGCAGCCUGAUAUUGAAUUCUGGUCAUACAUGUACAGGAUAGGUGGGAGACAAAGAGACGUGCACGCCAGUGUACGAGGAGUCGACGUUGGGAUACCACUCUUGUGUGACCGGGGUUCUAACCUGGUAUCGAGAACAGGUACGGGGAGAGUGUCAGGUGGGCAGUUUGACUGGGGCGGUCGCCUCCCAAAGAGUAACGGAGGCGCCCAAAGGUACGCUCAGAUUGGAUGGAAACCAAUCGUCGAGUGCAAUUGCAGAAGCGUGCUUGACUGUGAGACAGACAAGUCGAACAGGGACGAAAGUCGGGAAUAGUGAUCCGGCGGUGCCGAAUGGAAGGGCCGUCGCUCAACGGAUAAAAGCUACCCUGGGGAUAACAGGCUGAUCUCCCCCAAGAGUCCACAUCGACGGGGAGGUUUGGCACCUCGAUGUCGGCUCAUCGCAUCCUGGGGCUGAAGUAGGUCCCAAGGGUUGGGCUGUUCGCCCAUUAAAGCGGUACGCGAGCUGGGUUCAGAACGUCGUGAGACAGUUCGGUCCCUAUCUGUUGUGGGCGAAGGAGAUCUGCGGAGAGCUGUCCUCAGUACGAGAGGACCGGGAUGGACCUACCGCUGGUGCACCGGUUGUUCCGCCAGGGGCAUAGCCGGGUAGCUAAGUAGGGAAAGGAUAAGCGCUGAAAGCAUCUAAGCACGAAGCCUACUCCAAGAUGAGAUCUCCCAUUCGCAAGAAGUAAGACCCCUUAAAGACGAUAAGGUAGAUAGGCCAGGGAUGGAAGUGCAGUGAUGUACGGAGUUGACUGGUACUAAUCGGUCGAGGACUUAAUCAG